GUGAGUAACACGUGGGUGAUCUGCCCUGCACUUCGGGAUAAGCCUGGGAAACUGGGUCUAAUACCGGAUAGGAACCGUCUUUAGUGUGGUGGUUGGAAAGUUUUUCGGUGCAAGAUGAGCUCGCGGCCUAUCAGCUUGUUGGUGGGGUAAUGGCCUACCAAGGCGACGACGGGUAGCCGGCCUGAGAGGGUGUACGGCCACAUUGGGACUGAGAUACGGCCCAG
Molecule: ribosomal RNA, 224 nt
Filed under: uncultured Actinomycetales bacterium
Lineage: Bacteria; Bacillati; Actinomycetota; Actinomycetes; Actinomycetales
Description: partial 16S ribosomal RNA
Rfam family: Bacterial small subunit ribosomal RNA
Source: RNAcentral